CAGUGUAGGGAUAUUGGGAUGAAAGUAUAGAUGGUUGUUAGAGAAUAACUUGUACUGAGCAUGACCAACGUAAGAAAUCACUUGGAUGUCUACUCACUCAUCAGUGAUUAUCUCGAUGCUGUAGUGAUGUGAGUGGUCCUAUGAUUGUGGUGUCAUUGGCUAUUCAUAGUAAAGCUACUGAGUUUGACUGCAUAUUUUUUAGGUCCUUAGCAAU
Molecule: long non-coding RNA, 214 nt
Filed under: Elaeis guineensis (African oil palm)
Lineage: Eukaryota; Viridiplantae; Streptophyta; Magnoliopsida; Arecales; Arecaceae
Description: long non-coding RNA (EGUI_LNC027778)
Source: RNAcentral